Molecule: ribosomal RNA, 297 nt
Filed under: uncultured bacterium
Lineage: Bacteria
Description: partial 16S ribosomal RNA
Rfam family: Bacterial small subunit ribosomal RNA
Source: RNAcentral
GGAUUAGAUACCCUGGUAGUCCACGCCGUAAACGAUGCGCACUAGGUCGGGGAGGUUGACGCCCUCCCGGCCGAAGCAAAAGUGUUUAGUGCGCCGCCUGGGGAGUACGGUCGCAAGGCUAAAACUCAAAGGAAUUGACGGGGGCUCACACAAGCGGUGGAGCAUGUGGCUUAAUUCGAAGCAACGCGAAGAACCUUAUCCAGGGUUUGACAUCCCGGAUUAACCCAUCGAAAGAUGGGCUACGCCCUCUGGGUGGAACGGUGACAGGUGCUGCAUGGCUGUCGUCAGCUCGUGCCG